RNAcentral lists this long non-coding RNA (332 nucleotides) under Zostera marina. RNAcentral describes it as "long non-coding RNA (ZMAR_LNC003960)". Lineage: Eukaryota; Viridiplantae; Streptophyta; Magnoliopsida; Alismatales; Zosteraceae. The record is from RNAcentral.
UCUGAUCGCAAGUUGAAAGGAAAGCUGCCUGACCGUGAGCGAAGGCAUGUCAGCAAGCGCGAGCGAGCCCGGUCGACGAUUCGACCGAAAAGAAGUCCGGUGCCAGCGAGUGAGCGAGCCAUGCCAACACGCGAGUUGAAGUCCGGCCACUGACCGCGAGCGAGCCCUGGCGGCGAUAGGGCGGCGAUCGACCGAGAAAGAGGGAUUGGAAGAGAGCGAGCAUGCAAGAGCGAGAAAUGGGGAGCGAGCGAGGUCACCUCAGAUCAGCAGCACUCCACGCCUAGCUUCCAGUUCAAAUCUACUCCCUAACCUCUUUUUUAACUUGAUCGAAG